RNAcentral lists this ribosomal RNA (497 nucleotides) under uncultured bacterium. RNAcentral's name for it is "partial 16S ribosomal RNA". It matches the Rfam family "Bacterial small subunit ribosomal RNA", at positions 28 to 507 of the family's 1533-position model. The record is from RNAcentral.
GAUGAACGCUGGCGGCGUGCCUAAUACAUGCAAGUCGAGCGAACGGACGAGAAGCUUGCUUCUCUGAUGUUAGCGGCGGACGGGUGAGUAACACGUGGAUAACCUACCUAUAAGACUGGGAUAACUUCGGGAAACCGGAGCUAAUACCGGAUAAUAUUUUGAACCGCAUGGUUCAAAAGUGAAAGACGGUCUUGCUGUCACCUAUAGAUGGAUCCGCGCUGCAUUAGCUAGUUGGUAAGGUAACGGCUUACCAAGGCAACGAUGCAUAGCCGACCUGAGAGGGUGAUCGGCCACACUGGAACUGAGACACGGUCCAGACUCCUACGGGAGGCAGCAGUAGGGAAUCUUCCGCCAUGGGCGAAAGCCUGACGGAGCAACGCCGCGUGAGUGAUGAAGGUCUUCGGAUCGUAAAACUCUGUUAUGAGGGAAGAACAUAUGUGUAAGUAACUGUGCACAUCUUGACGGUACCUAAUCAGAAAGCCACGGCUAACUACGUG